UCGAGGAUCAUUUGCAAUGGGCGCAAGCCUGACAAUGCGACGCCGUGUGAACGAAGAAGGCCUUCGGGUUGUAAAGUUCUUUCGCUUGGGAACAAGAAAUAGAGGUAAAUAAUCUCUAAAUUUGAGAGUACUAGGUAAAGAAGCACCGGCUAACUCCGUGCCAGCAGCUGCGGUAAUACGGAGGGUGCAAGCAUUAAUCGGAUUUAUUGGGCGUAAAGGGCGCGUAGGCGGCUAGAUAAGUCUUAGGUGAAAUUCCAAAGCUCAACUUUGGAGCGGCCUUAGAAACUAUAUAGCUGGAGGAUAGACGGAGAAAAUGGAAUUCCACAUGUAGCGGUGAAAUGCGUAGAUAUGUGGAAGAACACCAGUGGCGAAAGCGGUUUUCUAGUUUAUACCUGACGCUGAGGCGCGAGAGCAAGGGGAGCAAACA
Molecule: ribosomal RNA, 427 nt
Filed under: uncultured Chlamydiales bacterium
Lineage: Bacteria; Pseudomonadati; Chlamydiota; Chlamydiia; Chlamydiales
Description: partial 16S ribosomal RNA
Rfam family: Bacterial small subunit ribosomal RNA
Source: RNAcentral